Molecule: ribosomal RNA, 256 nt
Filed under: uncultured bacterium
Lineage: Bacteria
Description: partial 16S ribosomal RNA
Rfam family: Bacterial small subunit ribosomal RNA
Source: RNAcentral
UACGUAGGGUGCAAGCGUUAAUCGGAAUUACUGGGCGUAAAGCGUGCGCAGGCGGUGAUGUAAGACAGAUGUGAAAUCCCCGGGCUCAACCUGGGAACUGCAUUUGUGACUGCAUCGCUGGAGUACGGCAGAGGGGGGAUGGAAUUCCGCGUGUAGCAGUGAAAUGCGUAGAGAUGCGGAGGAACACCGAUGGCGAAGGCAGCCCCCUGGGGCUAACACUGACGCCUCAGGCACGAAAGCGUGGGGAGCAAACAGG